This 253-nucleotide ribosomal RNA is filed under the name uncultured bacterium. Its description in RNAcentral is "partial 16S ribosomal RNA". It matches the Rfam family "Bacterial small subunit ribosomal RNA", at positions 524 to 776 of the family's 1533-position model. The record is from RNAcentral.
UACGGAGGGUGCAAGCAUUAAUCGGAUUUAUUGGGCGUAAAGGGCGUGUAGGCGGGUUAGUAAGUCAGAUGUGAAAUUCCAAAGCUCAACUUUGGGACUGCAUUUGAAACUACUAGUCUGGAGGUUUGGCGGAGAAAAUGGAAUUCCACGUGUAGCGGUGAAAUGCGUGGAUAUGUGGAAGAACACCAGUGGCGAAAGCGGUUUUCUAGCUUAUACCUGACGCUGAGGCGCGAGAGCAAGGGGAGCAAACAGG